This 742-nucleotide ribosomal RNA is filed under the name uncultured euryarchaeote. RNAcentral describes it as "bacterial SSU rRNA". It matches the Rfam family "Archaeal small subunit ribosomal RNA", at positions 95 to 842 of the family's 1478-position model. Lineage: Archaea; Methanobacteriati; Methanobacteriota. The record is from RNAcentral.
UACACGUCGAUAAUCUGCCCUAGGGUCGAUGAAAGCUACGCGAAAGUGUGGGUAAACAUCGAUAGGCAAUAGAUACUGCAACGUUCUAUUGCCCAAAUUCGUGCCCUAGGAUGAGUCGGCGGCCGAUUAGGUAGUUGGCGGGGUAACGGCCCACCAAGCCUUGGAUCGGUACGGGCCAUGAAAGUGGUAGCCCGGAGAGGGACACUGAGAUACUGGUCCCAGCCCUACGGGGUGCAGCAGGCGCGAAAACUCUCCAAUGUGCGAAAGCGUGAGAGGGGGAUUCCUAGUGCUUAUGGUUCAUCCAUAGGCUUUUGCCAUGUGUAAAUAGCAUGGCGAAUAAGUGGUGGGCAAGACUGGUGCCAGCCGCCGCGGUAACACCAGCGCCACGAGUGGCUAUCGCGAUUAUUGGGCCUAAAGCGUCCGUAGUCGGGCUUGUACAUCUUCUGUGAAAUCGCUGCGCUCAACGUAGCGGCAUGCGGAAGACACGGCAAGCCUUGAGACCGGAAGGCGUGAAGGGUACUCCAAGGGGACCGGUAAAAUGGUAUAAUCCUUGGAAGACCACCUGUGGCGAAGGCGCUUCACGAGUACGGAUCUGACGAUGAGGGACGAAAGCCAGGGGAGCAAACCGGAUUAGAUACCCGAGUAGUCCUGGCCGUAAACGCUGUCAGCUAGGUGUUGCGUCGACUUGAGUCGCCGCAGUAUCGGAGCGAAGGUAUUAAGCUGACCGCCUGGAAGUACGUCG